UGGCCAAUAGGAAUUCAGUGCGAG
RNAcentral lists this non-coding RNA (24 nucleotides) under Cricetulus griseus (Chinese hamster). The record is from RNAcentral. Lineage: Eukaryota; Metazoa; Chordata; Mammalia; Rodentia; Cricetidae.